GUGCCAGCAGCCGCGGUAAUACGGAGGGUGCAAGCGUUAAUCGGAAUUACUGGGCGUAAAGCGCACGCAGGCGGUCUGUCAAGUCGGAUGUGAAAUCCCCGGGCUCAACCUGGGAACUGCAUUCGAAACUGGCAGGCUAGAGUCUUGUAGAGGGGGGUAGAAUUCCAGGUGUAGCGGUGAAAUGCGUAGAGAUCUGGAGGAAUACCGGUGGCGAAGGCGGCCCCCUGGACAAAGACUGACGCUCCAGGUGCGAAAGCGUGGGGAGCAAACAGGGAUUAGAUACCCUGGUAGUCC
This 294-nucleotide ribosomal RNA is filed under the name uncultured microorganism. Its description in RNAcentral is "partial 16S ribosomal RNA". It matches the Rfam family "Bacterial small subunit ribosomal RNA", at positions 505 to 796 of the family's 1533-position model. The record is from RNAcentral.